CCACAAAUAAUGACGCAGGCUC
Molecule: non-coding RNA, 22 nt
Filed under: Arabidopsis thaliana (thale cress)
Lineage: Eukaryota; Viridiplantae; Streptophyta; Magnoliopsida; Brassicales; Brassicaceae
Source: RNAcentral